AUGUGUAUCUGCAGAACCGGAGAGUCACCCGUUCAGACGUUCAAGCUGUCUUUUUGCAAAAGCCGGCCUGACGGCUGCGGUGUUAAACACUCUCACAUUUUCCUUUUUCCCAUUUUUCUUGCUUCGUUUAACGGGAUGGCUCCUGCUGGCAUUUCCUGGCGUGCAGACAGUGCCGGGCGGCCGGGACGUCGCGGCUGCMGCGCGGAAGGAGCCAAAGUGGGCGGCGGGGAUGCCGAAAGGGGGUUGUCCAGGAAAUGCCAGCCCCAGGUACCCCUGGAGUCGGGUGGAUGGGGAGACGCGGAUCCGAGCUUGCCGGCGUGGUUGCGUCUCCGGCUUGCAGCGGCGUCUGAGCUGUUUUGUGAAAGUCUGAAGGCUCCUUGCAGUAACCGAGUUGCAUCUCGGAGCAAGUAGCGUGCUGCUUCGGUGCACUGGACCGUCCUGGAGAAGGGACCACCGCACCCCCGUCGCCCCUCCCAAGGCACGGAGGAACGGCUCCGCCGGGAGCGGGGCCGGCUCGGCAGGGCGCCGGCGUGCGGCUCCUUUGGGAUUGUCCCAAACGGAGCGGGGAUGAGUCGCAGUGACUCAUACCUCCAUACCGCUUUCGGCUUUGAUCUUAAUCCUGACCAUAUUUUGGGUCAAACUGCAUUUCCCCUCUCCGGAGCUCGUGAAUCCGGUGAUGACUUGCCCUCCUCCAAGCUGGCACCRAAACCGUCACGUUGCUUUCCUUUAAGACAGAAAAAAUGCGUUUUGGCCUCGAUGUAAAGAAUUCACAUCAGGUUUUUUUAACUUAGCAUCUAGCCCCGUCCAGCAAACUGCCAAGCUCUGCGGCCGGGGCUGCAUGACGCUCCCGGACGCAUCCAGCACCCUCUGCCAGCCGGGCACCCCCGCUUUACUGCACGGAGCAGAAAGCGGGCCCAAAACGCUKUUCUUUUCUUUUUUCUUCCCUCUUUGCAAACAAAUUUGUGCCCAGACUUACUUUAACUGUCACAUAUUUUCCCCUCCAAUACGUCUGACAGCGUAUUAAUCACGCUUUCUUCUGAUCUGUGAUUUUUACGGACUGCCAACUGCACAGAGCCAGUUUGGCACCUUCUCCAGCAAAUCGAGGUUUCGAUGGCUUUACCAUUCGUAUUUAGUGCUUAAGYGUGUGUGUCGUUUUGGUAGAGAAACCAGAAUUCUUGCUUGUAUUCCACAGCAGUCGCCUCCGAGCAGAGAGUAAUUGCCGUAGACGGGCAGGGUGGCAAAAAUGCGCAGCUGUGACUAGCGUUUCAUGGAGCAAGGGAUAAAAUAAUAUUAGUAAUAAGUUGUUCAGAAUAGUUAUGUAACGGGCAUUUCCUGCAAUGGAAAAUUUCCCGGGGGAAAGAUGGUGUUUUUAUUGGUGAGGUAUUUAAUUUCUUUUCCGUAAAUUAAAAGU
This 1411-nucleotide long non-coding RNA is filed under the name Dromaius novaehollandiae (emu). RNAcentral describes it as "lncRNA (ENSDNVG00000003257.1)". The record is from RNAcentral. Lineage: Eukaryota; Metazoa; Chordata; Aves; Casuariiformes; Dromaiidae.